RNAcentral lists this ribosomal RNA (253 nucleotides) under uncultured bacterium. Its description in RNAcentral is "partial 16S ribosomal RNA". It matches the Rfam family "Bacterial small subunit ribosomal RNA", at positions 524 to 776 of the family's 1533-position model. The record is from RNAcentral.
UACGGAAGGUGCGAGCGUUAAUCGGAAUUACUGGGCGUAAAGCGCACGUAGGUGGUUUUAUAAGUCGGAUGUGAAAGCCCCGGGCUCAACCUGGGAAUGGCAUUGGAAACUGGCGGGCUUGAGUGUGGCAGAGGGGGGUGGAAUUCCGCGUGUAGCAGUGAAAUGCGUAGAGAUGCGGAGGAACACCGAUGGCGAAGGCAGCCCCCUGGGCUGACACUGACGCUCAGGCACGAAAGCGUGGGGAGCAAACAGG